RNAcentral lists this non-coding RNA (31 nucleotides) under Rattus norvegicus (Norway rat). The record is from RNAcentral. Lineage: Eukaryota; Metazoa; Chordata; Mammalia; Rodentia; Muridae.
AUGAGGCACCAAAGAAGGUCACUAUCCAGGG